UAACAGCCGCCGGUCUGAACGGGUAUUAUUGAUGUUGAUAAACAUAAGAUAUACAUUAUCUUGCUGUUAU
Molecule: transfer RNA, 70 nt
Filed under: Omalonyx unguis
Lineage: Eukaryota; Metazoa; Mollusca; Gastropoda; Stylommatophora; Succineidae
Description: tRNA-Ile
Source: RNAcentral